GUACUAGCUUCGGCGGUUCAUGGACUAAAAUUGAAACGAUACAGUGAAAAUUGGUAUGAUCUCUACUCAAGGGGGGGUACCCAAAAUCGUGAAGCCUUCCACAUUUUU
Small nuclear RNA from Cimex lectularius (bed bug), 108 nucleotides. The record is from RefSeq and is a predicted model, not a curated record. Lineage: Eukaryota; Metazoa; Arthropoda; Insecta; Hemiptera; Cimicidae.